RNAcentral lists this ribosomal RNA (279 nucleotides) under uncultured bacterium. RNAcentral describes it as "partial 16S ribosomal RNA". It matches the Rfam family "Bacterial small subunit ribosomal RNA", at positions 506 to 784 of the family's 1533-position model. The record is from RNAcentral.
UGCCAGCAGCCGCGGUAAUACGAAGGGACCUAGCGUAGUUCGGAAUUACUGGGCUUAAAGAGUUCGUAGGUGGUUGAAAAAGUUGGUGGUGAAAUCCCAGGGCUUAACUCUGGAACUGCCAUCAAAACUUUUUAGCUAGAGUAUGAUAGAGGUAAGUGGAAUUUCUAGUGUAGAGGUGAAAUUCGUAGAUAUUAGAAAGAACACCAAAUGCGAAGGCAACUUACUGGGUCACUACUGACACUGAGGAGCGAAAGCAUGGGUAGCGAAGAGGAUUAGAUA